GUGCUCGCUUCAGCAGCACAUGUACUAAAACUGGAAUGCUACAGAGAAGAUUAGCACGGCCCCUGCGCAAGGACGACACGCAAAUUCAUGAAGCCUUCCAUGCUUUU
Molecule: small nuclear RNA, 107 nt
Filed under: Callithrix jacchus (white-tufted-ear marmoset)
Lineage: Eukaryota; Metazoa; Chordata; Mammalia; Primates; Cebidae
Source: RNAcentral